AUUGAACGCUGGCGGCAUGCCUAACACAUGCAAGUCGAACGGUAACAGGAAGAAGCUUGCUUCUUUGCUGACGAGGGGCGCAGGGGAGAGUCAUGUGUGUGACCUACCUAUAUGACGGGGAUAACUUCGGGAAACCGGAGCUAAUACCGGCUAAUAUUUUCAACCCCAAGGUGGAAUACUUAAGGACGUUUUUGCUUCGACUUUUCGAUGGUGCCGUGCCGAAUUAGCUAGUUGGUGAGGUAACGGCUUACCAAGGCAACGAUGCGUAGCCGAUCUGAGAGGAUGACCAGCCACACUGGAACUGAGACACGGUCCAGACUCCUACGGGAGGCAGCAGUGGGGAAUAUCGCACAAUGGGCGCAAGCCUGAUGCAGCAACGCCGCGUGUAUGAAGAAGGUCUUCGGGUUGUAAAGUACUUUCAGCAGGGAGGAAGGGAGUAAAGUUAAUACCUUCGCUCAUUGACGUUACCCGAAGAAGAAGCACCGGCUAACUACGUG
Molecule: ribosomal RNA, 497 nt
Filed under: uncultured bacterium
Lineage: Bacteria
Description: partial 16S ribosomal RNA
Rfam family: Bacterial small subunit ribosomal RNA
Source: RNAcentral